This 255-nucleotide ribosomal RNA is filed under the name uncultured bacterium. RNAcentral describes it as "partial 16S ribosomal RNA". It matches the Rfam family "Bacterial small subunit ribosomal RNA", at positions 524 to 776 of the family's 1533-position model. The record is from RNAcentral.
UACAGAGGAUGCAAGCGUUAUCCGGAAUGAUUGGCGUAAAGCGUCUGUGAGGUGGACUUUUUAAGUCCGCCGUCAAAUCCCAGGGCUCAACUCUGGACAGGCGGUGGAAACUACCAAGCUGGAGUACGGUAGGGCAGAGGGAAUUUCCGGUGGAGCGGGUGAAAUGCGUAGAGAUCGGAAAGAACACCAACGGCGAAAGCACUCUCGCUGGGCCGACACUGACACUGAGAGACGAAAGCUAGGGGAGCGAAUGGG